CCGGGUCAGCCGGUGGGCAAUCCUCCACCCCAUGCUACCACUAUCACACAAGUCUUCCCGUAUCCCCAUCCCACGCAAAAACAAUCCCCAUCCCGAUCCCACGCUGGUGCGGCGCCUCCAUCCCAAUCCCCAUCCCGAUCUCCUUCCCCACCUCCACCUCUAGACGACCCCGACGGCCAGAUCACGCCGGAGCCUGCGGUCCUCCUCCACCUUCAACUCCUCUCCUCUCCGGUUGCGCCGCCACCCUGUUCGUGGUCGAGCCGCGGCGAGCAGCAGAGGACCGCCGCUGGCUCGUCCACAACCAAUCGGCGAGCAGCAGAGCAGAGGACCCCAUAGCUGCCUACCGUGCCAAGCUCCCUCCCUCCUCGUGAACGAAGCCCUACCCCACGGCCAUGGCUAGGUUUGUGCAGUUUUUGCCCAUCUCAUCUGUGUGCAGGUCCCUUCUCUGAGAGGGUGCUGCUCACGCUGGAGGAGAAGGAGGUGC
RNAcentral lists this ribosomal RNA (484 nucleotides) under Triticum aestivum (bread wheat). RNAcentral describes it as "partial small subunit ribosomal RNA". The record is from RNAcentral. Lineage: Eukaryota; Viridiplantae; Streptophyta; Magnoliopsida; Poales; Poaceae.